UUCUGUGGCUUCAACUGGUGAAA
RNAcentral lists this unclassified non-coding RNA (23 nucleotides) under Mus musculus (house mouse). RNAcentral's name for it is "oocyte_clustered_small_RNA4629". Lineage: Eukaryota; Metazoa; Chordata; Mammalia; Rodentia; Muridae. The record is from RNAcentral.